RNAcentral lists this long non-coding RNA (1047 nucleotides) under Junco hyemalis (dark-eyed junco). RNAcentral describes it as "lncRNA (ENSJHYG00000000943.1)". The record is from RNAcentral. Lineage: Eukaryota; Metazoa; Chordata; Aves; Passeriformes; Passerellidae.
AGGCGCUGCGAGAGUUUGGGUGCCCCCCCUGGGAACAGCCCCCCAAGGCGGAGGAGCCGCUCAGGUACCCCCUGAUGGGACAGGGACCCCUCCCCAGGACAGAGACCCCAAACUUGGGGGGUCCCAGGACAAGAACUCCAAGUCUGGGACCCCAGUUUAGCACCCCAGGAUCCCCUUCUUCCCCCCACCCGGGGUGGUCCCAGCCCCGUCCUGCCCCCCCAGAGGGUCCCGUGUGCCCCUCAGGACCCCCCUGAUUGUUCCUCUCGUGGGGGUCCCGGUGCCCCCAAUGCCCUUCCCAUGGCCAUGCCCUUUGACCCCUGUGUCCUUUGUCCCCCCCCGCAGCCCCCCGGUGAUCCUGGAUGACCCCGGCGAUCCCGAGCUGGCCCAGGCUGUGGCCGCCGCCCGCGGGGCCGCCCCGGGGUGGGGGCGGCUGCCGGGGGCGUCGCGGGCCCGGGUGCUGCGGGGGGCGGCGGCGGCGCUGCCGGGGGGUCCCGGGACCCCCGAGGACGGCGACGGCGGCGACACCGGCGGGAGCCUGCGGGGGGCGCUGCUGCGCUGGGCGGAGCGAGCGGAGCGCGCGGGCGGGGCCGUGCAGGAGCUGCCCGGGGGGCGGGCCCUGCUGACGAGGCGGCCGCUCGGGGUGCUGGGCGUGGCCUGGGGUUGGCCCCGCCCCCUGGCGCUGGAGCUCCUCCUCCCGGCGCUGGCGCUCGGGAACGCGGUCGUGGUGGUAGCGCCUCCUGGCGGCGCCGGUGCCGCACAGCGGCUGCGGAAGUCUCUGGUGGCCGCGGGGCUGCCGGGGGCGGCCCUGUCGGUGCUUCCCGGCGCUUCCCAGGGCUGCGGACGUCGCCUGGCGCGGCAGCGCCCGGACGGGCUGUGGCUGUGCGGGGGGGACGCGGUGAGUGCGGGGGCGGUGCGGGACAUUUGGGGGGGGGACAGCGGAGAGCACGCGGGGAAGGGGGGUGGGCACUGGGACGUUUUGGGGGUCCCGAGCCGUGGGACGGCUGCUGUGGGGGAUUUUGGAGUGGGGGGGGCACACCCCCCGGCUGU